GAUUUUUAAAAAUUUAUUUAAAUAUCACAUGGCAAGUUUGAAAAUAUUUUUGGACUGCAUAAAUUUUUAUGAGUUUUAUAUAAUUUUUUUUGGAAUUUUUGAGCCUCGUUUUGGGUCCUAGGUUAGAGCAAAAAUUAAAUUUUGAAUGCUCUAAAUCAAACCGAUCGGAUCGGAUCAAUUGAAUCGAACUAGUCCUUUCCUUUUUCUUUUCCCUUCUCCUUCCCGUGUGUCGGACUCUGCCCCUUCCCUCUUUCUUUUCUCUCUCCUCUCUUCUCGCCAGCAUACCACCGGUGCCCUUCCCCUACCACUGCCACCCCUUUUUCCGGCUAGAAAACGUGCCCCAACUCUCCCUUUUCACCCGCGCGCCGUUUCACCUUUCCUUGCUAUUUUCGGUGAUUUCAGUAGCUAAUCGGAUCGGGUCUUGUUUUCUUUUUG
Molecule: unclassified non-coding RNA, 435 nt
Filed under: Hevea brasiliensis (rubber tree)
Lineage: Eukaryota; Viridiplantae; Streptophyta; Magnoliopsida; Malpighiales; Euphorbiaceae
Source: RNAcentral